AUUGAACGCUGGCGGCAUGCUUUACACAUGCAAGUCGAACGGUAACAGGUCUUCGGAUGCUGACGAGUGGCGAACGGGUGAGUAAUGCAUCGGAACGUGCCCAGUCGUGGGGGAUAACGCAGCGAAAGCUGCGCUAAUACCGCAUACGAUCUAUGGAUGAAAGCGGGGGACCGUAAGGCCUCGCGCGAUUGGAGCGGCCGGUGUCAGAUUAGGUAGUUGGUGGGGUAAAGGCCCACCAAGCCAACGAGCUGUAGCUGGUCUGAGAGGACGACCAGCCACACGGGGACUGAGACACGGCCCAGACUCCUAGGGGAGGCAGCAGUGGGGAAUUUUGGACAAUGGGCGCAAGCCUGAUCCAGCAAUGCCGCGUGCAGGAAGAAGGCCUUCGGGUUGUAAACUGCUUUUGUACGGAACGAAACGGCCCUCUCUAAUACAGAGGGCUAAUGACGGUACCGUAAGAAUAAGCACCGGCUAACUACGUGCCAGCAGCCGCCGUAA
RNAcentral lists this ribosomal RNA (498 nucleotides) under uncultured bacterium. RNAcentral's name for it is "partial 16S ribosomal RNA". It matches the Rfam family "Bacterial small subunit ribosomal RNA", at positions 29 to 523 of the family's 1533-position model. The record is from RNAcentral.